GGGUUAAGUCCCGUAACGAGCGCAACCCUUGUCCUUAGUUACCAGCACGUUAUGGUGGGCACUCUAAGGAGACUGCCGGUGACAAACCGGAGGAAGGUGGGGAUGACGUCAAGUCAUCAUGGCCCUUACGGCCGUGGGCUACACACGUGCUACAAUGGUCGGUACAAAGGGUUGCCAAGCCGCGGAGGUGGAGCUAAUACCCAUAAAACCGAUCGUAGUCCGGAUCGCAGUCUGCAACUCGACUGCGUGAAGUCGGAAUCGCUAGUAAUCGUGAAUCAGAAUGUCACGGUGAAUACGUUCCCGGGCCUU
This 309-nucleotide ribosomal RNA is filed under the name uncultured Pseudomonas sp. RNAcentral describes it as "bacterial SSU rRNA". It matches the Rfam family "Bacterial small subunit ribosomal RNA", at positions 1077 to 1382 of the family's 1533-position model. The record is from RNAcentral. Lineage: Bacteria; Pseudomonadati; Pseudomonadota; Gammaproteobacteria; Pseudomonadales; Pseudomonadaceae.